Molecule: ribosomal RNA, 187 nt
Filed under: uncultured eukaryote
Lineage: Eukaryota
Description: partial 18S ribosomal RNA
Rfam family: Eukaryotic small subunit ribosomal RNA
Source: RNAcentral
UGGUGGAGUGAUUUUGUCUGGUUAAUUCCGAUAACGAACGAGACUCUGUCCUGCUAACUAGGUUGUGUUUUCUCGGGUUGGUGUUUCUGGUGUUCCUUCUCGGGGCGCCGGCCCAAUCCACUUGUGAACACAACACUCUUCUUAGAGGGACUGGCGGCUGUUAGCCGCACGAGAUAGAGCAAUAACA